UUGAUUCAUUUAUAUGAUUCCACUCAGAAGACAACCCGCAAAAGGGCUUAGCAGAGUUUGGGGGUCCUGCGGCGGCCCGGGACGGCCCGCCGAGGCAACGAUAACGGUAUGUUCACAGUGGUUUGGGAGUUCGAAACUCGGUAAUGAUCCCUCCGCUGGUUCACCAACGGAGA
Molecule: unclassified non-coding RNA, 173 nt
Filed under: uncultured fungus
Lineage: Eukaryota; Fungi
Description: sequence contains ITS1
Source: RNAcentral